This 418-nucleotide ribosomal RNA is filed under the name Acidimicrobiia bacterium. Its description in RNAcentral is "bacterial SSU rRNA". It matches the Rfam family "Bacterial small subunit ribosomal RNA", at positions 1 to 410 of the family's 1533-position model. Lineage: Bacteria; Bacillati; Actinomycetota; Acidimicrobiia. The record is from RNAcentral.
GUUGGAGAGUUUGAUCCUGGCUCAGGACGAACGCUGGCGGCGCGCCUAAUCCAUGCAAGUCGAGCGACGCAUUCUUUGCCCGUAAGGGCGGGUUUGACGGAGCGGCGAACGGGUGCGUAACACGUGACCAAUCUGCCCCGAAGACCGGGAUAGCCCGGGGAAACCCGGAUUAAUACCGGAUAAUCUCAUCAUCACGCAUGUGAAGGUGAGCAAAGGUUCAGGCGCUUCGGGAUGAGGUCGCGGCCCAUCAGCUAGUUGGUGAGGUAACGGCUCACUCAAGGCAAUGACGGGUAGCUGGUCUGAGAGGACGAUCAGCCACACUGGAACUGAGACACGGUCCAGACUCCUACGGGAGGCAGCAGGAGGGAAUCUUGCGCAAUGGGCGAAAGCCUGACGCAGCGACGCCGCGUGGGGGAUG